Molecule: ribosomal RNA, 2886 nt
Filed under: Triticum aestivum (bread wheat)
Lineage: Eukaryota; Viridiplantae; Streptophyta; Magnoliopsida; Poales; Poaceae
Description: partial small subunit ribosomal RNA
Source: RNAcentral
AUGGAAGAGCCGAAUGCGGGCGGCGGGGCCGUGGCGGCACCCGAGGUGAUUGCGGAUCCGGGUGUUGGCGGGGCCAGCGGCGGCGCUGGCCCCGCCGCCUCGCCGUGGAGGAAGACCACGCCGCCGCCUGUCGCAGGUGAGGCAGCGGUCAUGGGGGCCGAGUCGUGGCCCGCGCUGGAGGAGACGCGGCAAAAGGUCGUGGCGGAGCCCACGGGGAAGCCUCUGCCGGGCAAUGCUGCCGGCGGCGACCUGGCAAAGGGGCCCGAGGUGCAGCAGGCGCCUCCAUCUCCAUCACAGGUGCCUAAUCGUAUGCACAAGUUUGAUGGCCAUGCAAAUCCCAACAAGAAUUACCAAGCACACCAUAAAAAUGGGCCCAAGAGACGCCCCCCUGGUGCAAAUGAUGCACCACCAUACCCUGCCACAAUGCCGUAUCAUCAACAUCCAGGGCAACCUAUUUUUUACCCUGUUCUCCCAAGUCCAGUGAUGCUACAUGAAUAUCCAUACCAGCCUUUUGCUGUUCCGGUCCCAAAUCAUGACCCACAUGUUGGGAAGUCUGGAUUCGAAUCUGCUACACCACCUUUUGUUCCGGUAGAUCAAGUUGGUGGCAAUGAAGGUAACAGGCCAAUGCCUCCACAAACGAGAGGAGAUCAUCAUGCUUGGCGUCCUGCUGUUGGUACUCAUGGUGCUAGACCACAUUCUAGUGUUGAAGGCCGUGGCCAUUUUAAUCACACUUGGCAAAAUCAUCAGACGUUUGGUACGAGAGAUAACACAAGUAUGCCACAUGGCGUUGGGCCAAGAGCUUUUGUCAGACCAAUGGCACAUCUGCCCCCUACUCUUGGGUACCUCAAUGGACCAUCAUACCCUGGGCCUAUGCCUCCCAUGUAUUAUUACAUGCCUGCUCCACCCAUGGAGGCAAUGAGAGGUCCACCUCGUUUUGUCCAAAACCAACCAGCCCCCCAACCUGUUUUAUCGCCUGAAGCGACUGAGCUAAGAGCUAAAAUAUUAGCUCAAGUGGAGUACUAUUUUAGUGAUACUAAUCUGGAGCGAGAUAAUUUCUUGAAAUCUUUAAUGGAUGAACAUGGCUGGGUUCCAAUUUCAAAAGUUGCAGACUUCAACAGACUGAAGAGAAUUACAAUGGAUGUCCAUCUGAUAGUAGAUGUAUUGGCAAGCUCAAGUCUUGUAGAAGUUCAGGAUGACAAGAUAAGAAGGCGCUCUGACUGGUCAAAAUGGGUUUGUUCUUCUGGGGCAACAUCUGUUCAGAGUCCAUCAUCUACUGCCAGUAUGGAUAAUAUUAUGGGUGAGAGCAAUACUGGCGGCUUCUCAAAUAAGGAUGAUUCUUUCUCUUCAGACCAAAAGAAGCAUCCUCACUCUCAAGAUGAUAAAUGCAACAUAGAUGGUGCUGCUAUUGAGGCAAUAGUUCCAGAUGAAGAGCUACCUAAUGAUGCACAUAGCUGUUCAUUGAAUAAAGGCUUGUCUGCCAUGACUAUUGGCGGAAAGCCUAAGAGCAUUUCCACAUUCUCUGGUAAUUCACGCACACAAGAAGCUGCUGUUAGAACUAGUGAUGUUAAAGUUCGAAAAGUAAACACAAAGAUGAAAGUACCUGAUUCUCAAAGCGAAAGUGGUUUCCGUAAGGAUUUGCCAAGUAACUCCCCUAGCUUCAGUGGGGAUCAAAGCACAUUCAUGCUUGAUGAGGAAUUGGAAUUGGAACACGCAGAACAUUCACGUGAUGAUGUCUAUUCACACAAAAGGGUCGAUGAUGAGGAUGACGAUUUUUUUGUUGAUGACCAAGAAGUGAAUCGGCUAAUAAUUGUUACACAGGAUACUAGAUCAGAAAAGGAUGACAAAAGUUGCUCGAGUAUAUCUCAAGCAUUUUCAACAGAGGAAGCAUCAAGAAUAAAUGACGCCUUAUAUUAUUAUGAGAGUGUACAUGAUCGGCGCACUAAUAAUCAAAGGAGCUCCCAGGCCGAUAGUGUAGAUGUUGAUUCUAAACAAUUUGGUGGAGCAAAAUGGAACCAUGUUAGCAUCGGAACUAAUGGCAUUGAGGAAGCUGGACAACCUAUUCCGCGUAGGCGGCAAAGUAAAGGCAAUAGAAAGACACAUACCUCACAUAAGCAGAGGUUCUUUGCUGGUAAUUUUGCGAAUAGUCCCAAUAGUCGAUCUCACUAUGGUGGUGUAUCAGAAAGCCCCCCAAGCAAUUCAAUUGGAUAUUUCUAUGGUUCUACUCCGGAAAAUCAUAGUAGCUAUAAGAGUUCAAAGCUGAGCUCAUCUCCUCAUGGAAUUCCUACUGGGAGCUCACCUAUUGGAUCAGUACCUAAAUCUUUCCCACCGUUUCAGCACCCUAGCCAUCAACUUCUAGAGAAAAAUAAAUUCCAGCAACAAAGGUACAAUAAGUUCAAGAAUAAAUGCGUUGCUGAACGUAAGAAGUUAGGAAUCGGUUUGAGCGAGGAAAUGAAUUCGCUCUAUCGUUUUUGGUCAUACUAUCUGAGAGAUAAUUUCAAUGAAGAUAUGUACAAGCAUUUUAAGAACUUUGCAGUAGAUGAUGCAGCAGCAAAUUACAGAUAUGGACUUGAGUGUCUCUUCAGAUUUUAUAGUUAUGGUUUGGAAAAAAACUUCCAACGGAAUGUAUAUGAAGAUUUUGAGCAACUGACGCUUGAGUUCUACCACAAGGGCGAUCUUUAUGGACUUGAAAAAUACUGGGCAUUUCAUCAUUUCCGAAAACAGGAUAGCAGCCCCAUCAAUAAGCAUGCAGAGUUGGAGAGGCUCCUCAGGGAGGAGUUCCGAACCAUCGAGGACUUCAAGGCACGGCGUGCGGCAGAUAAAGAAACCGGUGGUAGUGGCAGCAAGAGUGCGGUGGCGGCAAGCCAUAGCAAGGCUGUGGCUAAGUAG